RNAcentral lists this unclassified non-coding RNA (231 nucleotides) under plant metagenome. RNAcentral describes it as "partial contains small subunit ribosomal RNA, internal transcribed spacer 1, and 5.8S ribosomal RNA". The record is from RNAcentral.
UCUCCGUUGGUGAACCAGCGGAGGGAUCAUUACCGAGUUCCAGCAACUCCCAACCCUUGCGAACCGUACCCCAGUCUGUUCUCGUUGCUUCCGGCAGGCGGGGGGGGCCACCUGGCCCCUCCCCCUGCCGGGGGCGGCGGGCCCUCUGAAUCUUUAUAUCUCAACCACUGUAACCCGUCUGAGCAAAACAAAAAAUAAUCAAAACUUUCAACAACGGAUCUCUUGGCUCUG